Long non-coding RNA from Salvia miltiorrhiza (redroot sage), 740 nucleotides. RefSeq lists it as uncharacterized. Lineage: Eukaryota; Viridiplantae; Streptophyta; Magnoliopsida; Lamiales; Lamiaceae. The transcript has 3 exons. The record is from RefSeq and is a predicted model, not a curated record.
CCAGUAUUUAUUUACAGUUCACAGAUUACAGGCUAGUUCCCAGCUUGGGGAAAAUCGUCUAGUAUAUCACAAAAGCUGUAGACUCUACAUGGCCUACUUAUUGCCACUAACUCUUGUGCAUAAAAAUCAUUAAAGCUAGUGGAAUGGAAUCCACUACCCUUUUGCUCCCCACCAACUCCACUACCCUUUGCUCCACCAACUCCACUCCACCAAACUUCCCACUUACUCCCUUCCCCACCACACGCAAGAAUGCAUCCAACAUCCCCUUAUACCUGCAGCAAUCUCUUCAUCAUCUUCAUUCUUCACUAAGGAACCGAAGAGUAGGAAGAAAUUCUACAUUCACUGUUCUGCCAUCAAACCUCAAGAGGUAAGCUUCGGUCCAUAUCCUCCAAUAUCUUCCAUAUUCAUUCUUGCAAUCACUAAAGAGGCAAAAUACGUUAUUUUGUUCCAGUUAUCGAUUCCUUAAUUCAACCACAAACAGCUAACGAACACCAAGCAUAGCAGGUCAAGCGCGAGAGUAAGAACUACACAAGGAGUUAGAGUACCUUAGCAAAACUUUGCUAUCAGGUUGAGCUGUGAUGGGCGAUGAAGUGCUGUUGCUGAGUGGAGUUUUUGUCGAACUUAAAGUAGGCUCAAAAAGGAUACAUGUCUUCAUACAUGUAUCUCAGUUAUGCAUUCCGCUGUAAACACUGAUUAUUUCAGUUACGUCUUCCGUUGCAAACUCUGAUAAUGUUUUAGCC